GCAACAGUGGUUGGUAUGGAGCAGUUCGACCUGCUGAUUCAGCAGGUCAGAGGCCUCACCGAAGCAGUGCAGGCCAUGCAGCAGCAACAGCCGCAGGUGUCAGUGCAGUUGGAAAGGGCAUCGUCGGAGUUUCAAGAUCCGGUAGUGGGGCGGGCCACUUGGGCUAGUCAUCCUAUCUUCCCUAAAAAGGGAAAUUCGAGGGUGGAGAGCCCUCAGUCUGAUCACGAUUCUACUCCCGGAGGAUCCCUACCUCCACUCCACCAAAAGACCCUCAAGACUCGCAGUCGAGAGG
This 292-nucleotide long non-coding RNA is filed under the name Elaeis guineensis (African oil palm). RNAcentral describes it as "long non-coding RNA (EGUI_LNC078980)". Lineage: Eukaryota; Viridiplantae; Streptophyta; Magnoliopsida; Arecales; Arecaceae. The record is from RNAcentral.